UCUUGCCAAAACGGUGACGCAGUGGUGUGUUACCUGCCGACAGCAUAAAGCGAGGCAAGGUCCAGCCGUUCCGCCCGGCAUACAAGCUUAUGGAGCAGCCCCCUUUGAAGAUCUCCAGGUGGACUUCACAGAGAUGUCAAAGUGUAGAGGUGAUCGAGUGUGGAUCAAGAACUGGAACGUAGCCUCUUUGUGUCCACUGUGGAAAGGACCCCAGACUGUCGUUCUGAGCACUCCCACCGCUGUGAAGGUAGAAGGAAUCCCAGCCUGGAUCCACCACAGCCAUGUAAAACCUGCAGCGCCUGAAACCUGGGAGGCAAGACCAAGCCCAGACAACCCCUGCAGAGUGACCCUGAAGAAGACGACAAGCCCUGCUCCAGUCACACCCGGAAGCUGACUGGUCCACGCACGGCCGAAGCCUGAGGAAGCUCAUCAUGAGAUUCAUUUUUCUUAAAUUUUGGACUUAUACAGUAAGGGCUUCAACUGAUCUUACUCAAACUGGGGACUGUUCCCAGUGUACUCAUCAGGUCACCGAAGUAGGACAGCAAAUUAAAACAAUCUUUCUGUUCUAUAGUUAUUAUGAAUGUAUGGAAACAAUAAAAGAAACUUGUUUGUAUAAUGCCACUCAGUACAAGGUAUGUAGCCCGAGAAAUGACCGACCUGAUGUGUGUUAUAACCCAUCUGAGCCCCCUGCACCACCGUUUUUGAAAUAAGAAUAAGAACUGGCCUUUUCCUAGGUGAUACAAGUAAAAUAAUAACUAGAACAGAAGAAAAAGAAAUCCCCAAGCAAAUAACUUUAAGAUUUGAUGCUUGUGCAGCCAUUAAUAGUAAAAAGCUAGAAAUAGGAUGUGGUUCUCUUAACUGAGAAAGGAGCUAAAGAGUAGAAAAUAAAUAUGUUUGUCAUGAGUCAGGGGUUUGUAAAAAUUGUGCCUAUUGGCCAUGUGUUAUUUCGGCUACUUAAAAAAAGAACAAAAAGGACCCGGUUUAUCUUCAGAAGGGGGAAGCCAACCCCUCCUGUGCUGCCGGUCACUGUAACCCACUAGAACUAAUAAUUACCAAUCCCCUAGGUCACCGUUGGAAAAAGGGAGAACGUGUAACCCUGGGGAUCAAUAGGACAGGGUUAAACCCUCAAGUUGCCAUUUUAAUUAGAGGGGAGGUCCACAAGUGCUCUCCCAAACCAGUAUUUCAAACCUUUUAUGAGGAGCUGAAUCUGCCAGCAGCAGAACUUCUGAAAAAGACAAAAAAUUUGUUUCUCCAAUUAGCAGAAAAUGUAAUUUUCUUACUUAAUGUUACUUCUUGUUAUGUACGUGGAGGAACCACUAUCGGAGACAGAUGGCCUUGGGAAGCCCGAGAGUUGGUGCCUACUGAUCCAGCUCCUGAUAUAAUUCCAGUUCAGAAGGCCGAAGCUAGCAACCUCUAGGUCCUAAAAACCCCAAUUAUUAGACAAUACUGUAGAGCUAGAGAAGGGAAAGACUUUAUCAUCCCUGUAGGAAAGCUUAAUUGUAUAGGACAGAGGUUGUAUAACAGCACAACAAAG
RNAcentral lists this long non-coding RNA (1534 nucleotides) under Homo sapiens (human). RNAcentral describes it as "non-protein coding lnc-FAM86C1-1:6". Lineage: Eukaryota; Metazoa; Chordata; Mammalia; Primates; Hominidae. The record is from RNAcentral.